CAGACAAACCCAAGCAGAAAAACCCAGCAAGAGAAUAAACAUACAGAAACCAAUGAAUCAAAGAAAAUAACAAAACAGACCAAAAAUGAAACAGACAAUCAGACAAAAUCUCAAACCCUGACACUAAUAAUGGUUUAAUUA
Molecule: long non-coding RNA, 141 nt
Organism: Thalassophryne amazonica
Lineage: Eukaryota; Metazoa; Chordata; Actinopteri; Batrachoidiformes; Batrachoididae
Exons: 3
Source: RefSeq, a predicted model, not a curated record